This 252-nucleotide ribosomal RNA is filed under the name uncultured bacterium. RNAcentral describes it as "partial 16S ribosomal RNA". It matches the Rfam family "Bacterial small subunit ribosomal RNA", at positions 525 to 776 of the family's 1533-position model. The record is from RNAcentral.
ACGGGGGGUGCAAGCGUUAAUCGGAAUUACUGGGCGUAAAGCGCGCGUAGGCGGUCUGGUCAGUCGGAUGUGAAAUCCCCGGGCUCAACCUGGGAAUUGCAUUCGAUACUGCCAAACUAGAAUGUUAGAGAGGGAAGUGGAAUUUCCGGUGUAGCGGUGAAAUGCGUAGAUAUCGGAAGGAACACCAGUGGCGAAGGCGGCUUCCUGGCUAAACAUUGACGCUGAGGUGCGAAAGCGUGGGGAGCAAACAGG